UUCGUGUCUUCUUGUCCCCAUCCCAGGUCCUUAGGUCUAUUGCUCCAGAUUGACAACCUGCAGGUUGGGACUACUGGAGCCCAGCCAUGGGGCUCAAUAGACCUUUGUUCCAGGUGUUUCAGUGUUCAUCAGAGGGACGUGCCCGUCCAUGCAUAGAGGAGUCCAUGACACAGUCGAAAGUGACCCUCGACAGAGUGCCAAUCGCCUGACUCAGUCUUUGAUUGACUCCAGGAUUCAUGAACACCACCUGGGGAGAGAAGAUUACAGGACACUUCGAUGUCUACACAGCGCUGACCAGGGGGCAGGAUGCCCCAAUGAACACCUGCUGCCAGGACCUGGCUGAAACUGUGAGCAAGUAACAGGACAUUGGAGAAUUAAUUGCACCCCCUUUACAUAGACAAAAUAAGGUCAGUCUUUUCAUGUCCCUCUUCUGCAGAGAGAAAAACUCUCACCUUAUAGGCCUGGAAAAGAUUGAUGCUAUUCUGUGAUAUUUCUACCUGCUAAUAGAGACUUGGGUAUGGCUAACUGUAUAUGGACUGGACCCUGUCAUUUUUAAUAGAUUUAAAAACUGUAAAAUUUAUCCUUCUCAGAUCCCUGGUAGUAUUAAUGGUUAAACUGUAGCCAGCUUAAUAGCUCAUUUAAUAAAGUUCUGAUAAGCUGAUAGAGCAAUGACUACCUGCUCUUCAGUCACAAGUUCAAGGUUUUUAGACUUAUUUUAGUUGUCAUCUAAAUAUAAACUUAAAGGGCUUUUCAUCAGGCCAAAGGUGCCUCUGUCCAAUCUACACCUGACUCACAGGACAGAAGAAAAAUAUGCAAGUUUCUAGCUCAAACCUGUAGGUUUUGCUAGGACUCAAAGGUAUGAGUCUGUUCCUGUUGCUUUACAGAUACCUGAUGUCUGCUUUCCUAUAAUGUAGAUUUUGGUACAGAUUGAUAAUACUAAUACAUCUAAAACUUUUAAGUCUUUUGUAUAAUAAAGUCCAUAUAGGCUUCAAAGGAUCAAAAGUCAUAAAGCUUGGAUCCACUUCCCACAGUUCAAAAGGACUCCAGAUAAGUACAACUUUUUAUUAUUGCACCUGUCUGUUCCUGAUAAUGGAAUUUUCCCCCUGGUCUUUGAACUUCUGCCCUUCCUGAUCACUAAAACUAUGAACCUAAGAGUUCUAAUUAAGUAUAUUAGUUUUAACUUCUGUUCCAAAUUUAAACAUGUCUCAAACAGAUUUCCACUUCUGGUUUCCACAUCUGGCAGACACGUUGGAACAUCAGUUGCUGACUACAGUCUGCUCCUAAAGACAAAGAGCUCUAAUCUUGCUGUGGAUAUAAACCAGUCCAGCCAAUGUGAAUGCUCCCUAUUUCUUCAACAGAGUCUGCCAACAAGAUGCUUCUGAUAAAUA
Molecule: long non-coding RNA, 1388 nt
Organism: Mesocricetus auratus (golden hamster)
Lineage: Eukaryota; Metazoa; Chordata; Mammalia; Rodentia; Cricetidae
Exons: 2
Source: RefSeq, a predicted model, not a curated record